This 252-nucleotide ribosomal RNA is filed under the name uncultured bacterium. Its description in RNAcentral is "partial 16S ribosomal RNA". It matches the Rfam family "Bacterial small subunit ribosomal RNA", at positions 524 to 776 of the family's 1533-position model. The record is from RNAcentral.
UACGUAGGUCCCCAGCGUUGUCCGGAUUUAUUGGGCGUAAAGCGAGCGCAGGUGGUUUAUUAAGUCUGGUGUAAAAGGCAGUGGCUCAACCAUUGUAUGCAUUGGAAACUGGUAGACUUGAGUGCAGGAGAGGAGAGUGGAAUUCCAUGUGUAGCGGUGAAAUGCGUAGAUAUAUGGAGGAACACCGGUGGCGAAAGCGGCUCUCUGGCCUGUAACUGACACUGAGGCUCGAAAGCGUGGGGAGCAAACAGG